CCAGGGACUGGCUGUGCAUACUGGCAGAUGUCAGUCAGCCCUCCUGCAGUUGGGCCAGGGACACCUCAGGGAAACUGUGACCUUCCUUCCAAUCUUGGUAACAUCACCCUUCCAACCCAAACCCCAGGGAAUGGCCCGAAUCUCUCCUGACAAACAGCUCUCAGCCCUGGUCCAGGCCACAGUCUUGCUUGCACUGGGCCGGGUUUCAGAGCCCGAAGGGCACACUGGCAGCCUUUAGUGCAGUGUUUCAGAUGUCACAGACAG
This 264-nucleotide long non-coding RNA is filed under the name Homo sapiens (human). RNAcentral describes it as "HSALNT0002250". The record is from RNAcentral. Lineage: Eukaryota; Metazoa; Chordata; Mammalia; Primates; Hominidae.